CGCAGGGUACUAUCAACGGAAGAUGGCCAGCCUCAUAAGCUGUGCGGAUGUGGGUUCGAAUCCCACCCCUGUUA
This 74-nucleotide transfer RNA is filed under the name Bacteroidota bacterium. RNAcentral describes it as "Bacteroidetes bacterium tRNA-Met". It matches the Rfam family "tRNA". From Rfam's summary of the family: Transfer RNA (tRNA) molecules are approximately 80 nucleotides in length. Their secondary structure includes four short double-helical elements and three loops (D, anti-codon, and T loops). Lineage: Bacteria; Pseudomonadati; Bacteroidota. The record is from RNAcentral.